RNAcentral lists this unclassified non-coding RNA (6918 nucleotides) under Hevea brasiliensis (rubber tree). Lineage: Eukaryota; Viridiplantae; Streptophyta; Magnoliopsida; Malpighiales; Euphorbiaceae. The record is from RNAcentral.
GAAUAUGGAGCAAUUUAUUGAGAGAAGUUCUAAACAAAUUGUCUUGCCAAUAAAGAUUAGCCAAGGCAAUUAGCAAUGCACCCCACAAAGUAUUUCAAAAUCAUAGUAUCUUAAAUAAUUCAAGCAUUAUAAUCAUGGUAUUUAAAUCUAAUUCUAUCAUUUCUGUACGGUGUAACCAAAAACUAAAAAUUUGUCAAUCUCGUUUCAAGGCCUUGGUUAUGAAGGCUCUUGUAAUUGCUAUUGCAAGGUAAGCCAAAAUAGUGAUGGCAAUACCUCCGAACAAAACAAAACGAUCAAAAGUGGCAUCCUGAACUGUAUAUACCCGAAGGCCUAUUGCAUCCCAAUUGCUCUCUGUCCACACAGGGUCCACCAUCCCCAAGGGAUCAGAGGAAUUUGAUGGUAAAACAUUCCAUGAUCCAGAUUCAAACUUCAAUCGGGUUGAAUAUGCAGGCACAUACCUGAAAUGAUCAAAAAACAAGUUAUUGGAAAUUGCAAUUUCAUAAUCACAUGCCACGAAUAGAGAUUCCCUGCUAAUAAUCUAGCAGUUUGAUGCAGCCAUGUCUCUCCAUUACAGGCAACUGAUUAAUGGGGCAGGACAGAGUGAAGACAAAACUGCAUACUUAAGCUGUUCUCUAUGCAGGCAAUCAACAGGAUUAAGCAAAUGGAAGAAACGAAAAUGAAUAACAGUACCUAAGCUGUUCUCAAUGCAAGCUAGAAUUCGGUGGUGCUGUGAGAAGUUUUUACCUAUUGCACUAUUUGCAUGGCACCAGACCAUAAUACCUUUGCAUUAAUGCACAUACAAAGAUAUGGAAUCAGGGUUUGCUUUAGUCAGACAAUUUCAAAUGAGUCAGUUUGGGCACAAACAGGCCGCAUAUGUGGGGGGCAAUAAAGCAAACAAUUGCUUGCUGCAGUCUGAGUAAAUUUUGUUAGACAUUCAGGGUAUUCUCUGAAUUACCAUUCUAAUUUAGCAGCUUGUAGCUAGUACUUUACCUUGUAGUAGAAAAAACACACACUCCCUUCCCAUUUGUUUCUGCCCUAAUGCAGACUUCAUCUUUGUUGCUGCAACCUUUUGAGCAAUCAUUGCUAGUAUUCUCUGUGGGAAUAGAAGUUCUAUCAGCCAAAAAAUUCCAUAUGAACCUGGAAACAUCACUGACAUAUCCAAGAUACGGAGUUGAUGAAGGUUCCCCAAUGACAACACCAACAUAAUGACUUGGGCAAGAAGCAGUAGGUGAUAUAUAGUCCUUAACCAGCUCGCAAGUCAAACCGGGGUCACAGUUCAACAGACAACCCAUCAUUUCUUCAACUAGAGAGGCGUUCACAUUGAUGGCACUUAAAGCUGAACUGCUUAAAUUUUUGCUGCCACUUGCAAGGAUGUAAAGGGUGCGAGCAAUAAGAGAUGCAGCUGCGACUAUAGCUGAAGAGUUUAUGUUUGCUGCAUUUAAGAUAUCCCAAUAAAAAUAUGUAGCAUGUGUUGCAGAUAUAUAUACUCCCAAAGGGAAAGCCAUUUAGAACAUAAAUCAACUCACACAUAUCAUCAAGGUGACUAUGGUAGAACUUGUUGGCAAAAGCAGUAUCAAAAUCUUCCAAUACAAUCCCAGAGGUUGAUGAGUUCUGCCAAUAGAGAGAGAAAUUGCACAAGCAUUAUAGAUUUAUGAUACCAACUAUUUUCCCAAACCAAUGGUUACAACCACUGACACAAAGCAACAAAGGGAAUUUUUAGUUCUAUCAAAAUAUAAUGUAACUUUCAUGUUCACAAUUGCUUAUGAAUUUAUUUCUCCCACUUUUACAUUGUACAGUAAAAAUCAACCCAAAUCAGACCUGUCCAAAAAAAAUAGAGAAUGAAAUGGCCAAAGAAGACGAAAGAACCCUUGGUUCUAACUCAAAAACACAAGUUCUAAAAUACAUUUCAACCCCUCGUAUAUCUCACCCUCUCCAAGUGCACCAAUUUAAGGCAUAAUGGGAGUGGGUUCCAAAACUAACUAAAAAUCCCCUUCCAAUAACCAGUAACUGAGGCAGAUACCUUGGAAUCACCCAAAAGCCUCGAGUAGCAAGAAACUUAAUGACACUAGUUCCCUUGCAACUCUGCAAAGCAAUAGAAGGUGCGGAACAGCCUCCUCACUAUUCCAUUAAAUACAACAAAUUCAUAAUAAUUUGAUUUCCGUGCGCCAGAUCACCUACAGUCCAUGAAGAAAGCUCUUUAUGGGAGUGCUCAAGUGCCUUUAACUUCCAAAUGCACAUCCCGGGAAUAUUUUUGCCCACAAAUCACAAUGCCUUGCAAACUCACAUAAUAAGAACUUGGAUGAAACCUAGUGUAGAAUAGAAGAAAGUUAAACUUAUCCUCACUGCUCUUUGGCAUCCACGGUUCCUUCACACAAACACGACACCAAUCCAUAAUAAUUUGAUUGCUCUUAAUAGGAUAGUCAAAGUUGUCCUUAUUGAUGUAAAUCAGAAAUAAGGCAGUGUAUAAAAAACGCAAUAAUGACUUCAAGUUAACUCACUAACCUUUCUCAGAAAUGCCAUCAAAGAUGAUGGGGGCACCCCAGGAUUUGUAGUGCUUGCUGUUGCAAUCAUAACAUUUUUGGAUUCAAGUGAAUCUUGAGCAUGUUUGAAGGCGUUCAAUAUUUCAUUUGUGGCUGAAGAAACCUACAUUAAUGAACACUACGAUUACACAAAUCAGACAUGCUAAGUAACAAAGCUAAUCAUCAAUUCAUCGCAUAAGAGGUUCACACAUACAAGACAAUAUACUACAAAGUCAAGCAUCUAUUACUUUCCAAUGUAACAGGGGGGAAAAAAGAAAAAAAACCCAACCAUCCAUGACAUUUUAGGCAAAAUAGAGCCAAAAAAAAAAAAAAAACAUGUAAUUACAGGAAACAAGGGACUAAUCUGAAUUUCUAAAAUAGGUAGUCCUAGAAUUUUUUAUGCCAUAAAAGACAAAAUGAGAACACACAAAAAAAAAAUCUGAAAUUUAAAUUUCAAAUUUUAAUCAUCCAACAACCUAGGCUAAAGAGAUCUAAGAAAACUCAUAUAAGUCCACAAAAUAAAACCUAACCUUUGUAACAAAGUCCAAUACCCAAAUAUCCUAACUAAUUAAAAUGCUCAAAUAAUUAUUUUCUUUUGUUUCCCCUAAAAUAUGUAGUACUAAAAUCUCUAGUAGGUCAGUCCCACAUUAGGAACAGAUAAAAAUGCUAAUUUAGGAGUUUAAGGGGGGUAAAUCCAUGUUAUUUGCAUCUCUGACUAUAAGAUCCAUGAUAUCAUGAUAAAAGAAAGUUCGAGCAAAACAAAUCAAUGAACAUCAUUCAAAAGAUUUUGUUUCCCGUUAAAUGCCCACAUUUAGCAUGCCAACUACACCACCUUGUCUUUCAACCAAGAUUAUGGAUCUCAAAGAAGGAAAUAAGGUAACCAAGUGCAAAGUUUCAAAUCUAAAUUGAUCUCAACUCUCAUCCAUCAUAUUAUUGAUUCCUGGAUGUAAAUAUUAACAUAUAGAAUUUCAAUAUUUUUGCCACCAAGACUUGUAAAAGAGUUUUAGUCUACUUAACUUACUAUUAAGUUGCAGUACUACUUGGAUCAUGAACUUGCCUGAAAAAUUCCUCUUACCAAAUUUGCUACAAUUUUUAAUCUUCCAACACUGUGUGAAGUGUCAUGUAAUCAGUUGAUUAAUAAUAUCAAAUACAAAUAUUUGGAGCAGCAAAUGUUGCUGCCACUGUCACCAUCUAAAAAUGCCAGCAUAUCAAAGUUUAUUUACCAAUAUAAACUGUUGCAGAAAAUUCUUCUACUGAGCAAAAGGAAAGAGGCAGGAGGGUUUAUUCUAGAAGAGGACAAAAGGCUCUGGAGAGAGGACAGCAAAGCACCAUUCCAUUAGAGGGAAUACCGGAAAUCACAUGAGUUGGCAACAAGGAGAUGUUAUAUAGAAAAUUGAAUAGCUGAAAUGACGACAUGGAUUUUGGCAUUUUCUUCCAGCUAGUGGCUUGGGGGCAGUUUGUAUGCUGCUGGGAUGUGAGGAGGGAUAUUUCCAUUUGUGUUCUUGAGAAUAUCUUGUAAUCCACCUGGAAUCCUUACGAAAUUAUUGAAUAAAAGCUCUCUAUUCCUUGCUGCUGCAAAUUACACUGUUUGUUUCCUUGUUGCACAAUUUUUCUGUGUUCUUUACUGUUUAUUUACAAGUUCUGUUCCUUUUACUCUAUCACAAACACUGACACCUCUAUCAUUAACUCCAUAUUCUCUAAACAAGCUACAACAUAGUUAUAUUCAAUAAACACAUCUAGCUAUAGAGAGCAAAAGAUGAAGAGGAAUAAAAAAAGAAAUACAAGAAAUUGAAUGCAAAAAGUAGAAGAGAAAAUGUUUGCACCCCUGAUGUGUGAGCGAAAAAGGUUUUAUUCCCUCCAAUGAAGCCUUUCCCAACAGAUCCAAUUUCUAUGACAUUUUCAGGUGAGAACCACGAUGAAUACCAUCUCAAUUAGUGUGUCAUUAAGGCCAUUAACUGCAUCUGACUGUAAAUCAAGUUCAAGCAAAAAUCUCCUGCUACCAAGAUAGCCCCAUGCCUCCCCAGUGAAAACUGAAAAGACAAGCUGCUUACUAAGAUCACCCAGACCAUUCAUAUGAGAAAGUGAAUCAACUGCUGCCAACAAGGAAAUCAGUCCCUAUAAAAGUUUCAAAAGAAAGUCAGUGUAUUGAUUUAAGACAGAAUAAACAUGAUCAAGAACUAAAAAAAGGCUUUAAGAAUGACUAAAUAUGCAUCAAAAACCUUGAACUUACAGAAAUAGGAGAUUCUGCACCUAAACUUUUGUCACGGAAAAAUGAAGCAGAAUCCGUAGAUGCCGCAAUUAAUAUAAUGGGCUUGGAUUGACUUGAGGAUGAAAUAUUAAUUGGCGGGAGUGAUGACCAAACACUUCCUUUCACAAUUAACAUAGACAAUUAAAAUUUAAGCUGCAAUUUUGAAGUAAAAAAACUUAAUCAUCUCUACAACACAAAGUCAGGUUACACUGUUAGUGAACCACUGGCUCCAAAAUACUGAAUUUGUUUUUCCAUCAAAUAGUUCAACUCAGUUCACAAAAAAGCAAGUGACCAGCUCAUGUAAAAUCUUCAGCUGCAGGCUUGAUGCGACUCAUUAGCUAAACAAGCCUCCCAAGCUUGUAAAAAAAUUUUACAUCAAACACAAGCUUAGUUCCAUUGAGCUUGUAGUCUUACAAACAGGCUGGCACCUGGCAUAUAACUCAGUUUGCUACUUACAGAGGGGAGAUGAUCCUUAUAAGGACUACAGAUUUUUUUAAAGUGGGAUUUUUCCCUUAGGAAUAGUAUUAGAACCAAGCAACAGAAUAUAGUAUCUUAUACAAGCAUACACAAGCUCCCGUGCAUUAUAAAUUCAUCAGAUAAUGAUCCAAAAUGAGGCUCAGCAGCUCAGCACUAAACAAUAUAAUGAUUUUGAAACCAACCGGUUCAUUAACCGAAACACUAAACAGCAAAAAGAGAAAAGAAAAUCCAACACAACCUACCUGUAUCCACCUAAAGGAAGGCAAGUCUGUUCUCUUAAACAAGAUUCUGAAUUAUGAGUCCCAGAUUUUGUAGUCUUAAGGAAAAGCCAAACACAUUAGAAAUCAGUUCAAAUAUAUCAGCUAGUUCAAAUAUUUAACAAACAGUGAAGAAGUCAAGAAGAUCAUCGUCAUGUACCUGCAUCACCAAAUCAAACUCAGCGACAUCUGCUGUAUAAGCAUUCUUUUGUUUCUCAUUCUUUGUGGCAACCUCCUGCAUGAUCUGACUACUCUCCUCAGAGAGCAAAAAUACAGGAAAAUCAUAAGCUUUCCACAUAAUACCAGAUCCCUGCAAAAGAAAUGGUGGUGAAACUUUAGCUAGUCAAGCAGGAAAAAAAAUCACAACUUCUAUGAGCAGUUUGCACAAAAAUAAAACAAAAUUCAGUGCCCAUCAAAGGGGCAUUCAUGGCAUCAAUAAUCUCAUGUCAGUAUACACCAACUGUUUCAUUUUAAUUAUUCCACAAGGACAGAUACUGUGAACGCUUAACCAUUUUUCAUCAAUUAAAUGAAAUAGUUAACAUUGUCAUGAUAUUUUACCAUCGGACAUGAUCAAUAAAAGGAAGGUUCAGAAAUCUGCAGUACAAACCAACCAACACAUAAAAAGAGGCUGGACAACAACAAGCUGACUAAGAUUAGAAUAAUAAUAACUACAAACUCUCAGAAAAUUGUUCACUAAUUUCACUAUACACUCAUAGCAUACAAUGGGGUUCCAUUCAUAGCUGACGCUUUUAUAAGGUGCAAAUUCAACUUCUGGGAACUUUUGAGCUGGAGAGAACUCUGUUAUGUUAUUUUGCAUGUUGGUUCUAGACUCGACUAAAACACCACCUACAUUCUUGGCAAAACUUGAAUCAUCUGAUAUUCUGUCAAAAAGUUCUUGAAUUUCAUCUAAUGAUACAAAAACAGCAGAUGAACGAGCCAACUGAUUAGCAUUCCUGAAUCUUAUAAUAGGAGUGACAACCUUGUCUCUUCCAGGAUUAGCACAACCAAUCUCUCCAGAAAGAUUCAGCAGCCGUACACAAGGAUAUCCAUCAAUGACCGUGUACAUAGACUUCUGGAGAUCAGGAACAGACUGCAUAGAGUUUGUCUGUUCUGACAAAGAGAGUCGAAACUGAAAAAUGAAGAGCAAAAGAAGAAGAUAAAGAGAAAUUAGCUUGGUGGCCAUGAGGAGCGUAAUCGAUGAUUUCUGGUGAAAAAUUAUAAACCCUAAGCCAUAGCGAUACUCAAAAAAAGAACUUAGAAACACUCUAUUCUGUGUUUCUGUGAGGAAUUUGAAGGAGAAUGACUAUUUUGCACGGUUGACUACAGAAUCAAUCAACUCCCAAUUUCUUUUUGAUUAUUGCCAAAUGCGAACCGGGUGGGAUUGGGCGGGCUGGAAAUGGAACGGGAUCGAUUUUUG